AGAUUGAACGCUGGCGGCAUGCCUUACACAUGCAAGUCGAACGGCAGCGCGGGAGCAAUCCUGGCGGCGAGUGGCGAACGGGUGAGUAAUAUAUCGGAACGUGCCCAGUAGUGGGGGAUAGCCCGGCGAAAGCCGGAUUAAUACCGCAUACGACCUGAGGGUGAAAGCGGGGGAUCGCAAGACCUCGCGCUACUGGAGCGGCCGAUAUCAGAUUAGCUAGUUGGUGGGGUAAAGGCCUACCAAGGCAACGAUCUGUAGUUGGUCUGAGAGGACGACCAGCCACACUGGGACUGAGACACGGCCCAGACUCCUACGGGAGCAGCAGUGGGGAAUUUGGACAAUGGGCGCAAGCCUGAU
Molecule: ribosomal RNA, 357 nt
Filed under: uncultured soil bacterium
Lineage: Bacteria
Description: bacterial SSU rRNA
Rfam family: Bacterial small subunit ribosomal RNA
Source: RNAcentral